CUUCAGAAAAUCUGUGCUAAUGUGAAAUCUGUUGCACACCUUCUGUUCUAGAUUUCAGGCUCUUGAGAGCUAGAGACCCAUCUGUCCAGUGCCCAAGGCAGUACACCAGAGGCAUUGAGCAGAGGUGUCUGUCACUGAAGAUUGUGACCAGUUGCUGAACACCAGUCCCCCGUGUCUUCUCAGAGGAAAAUGAUCAGGAAGAUGUGCCUCUAAAGGAUGCAGCUGAAGUCUCCACCAGGCUGAGUGCCUUCCCUCUGAAUGUCUCCAGUCCCAGUGUUCUCCCAAACUAUAGAAUCCACAAAGCCUGCUAGUUCUGGCCUUGGAGAUCUCCAGUUACUGUGUGAAGGCAUCAGGUGCCGCCAGUUACCUGUGCAGAGUAUUAGCUACUCUAGUUGCUGGACGUUUUACACAUCCCUUCCAGAUGCAGCUCAUGCUUGCCCUGUAUUUACGUGGAGGAAGCCCCUGUGCUGACUACAGAAGCAACAAGAAGCACUGAGGUGCACAGCAAAGCAGCUUCAGAAGGUCCUGAGGAUCCAGCAGUUGUGUGUGCCACUGACCAACUCGUCACCUAGGUUGAGGCAGACAGCUGUUCAGCAUCUCCACCGAAGACCAACCGGGAGGAAGCCGGCUCAAGUCACAGCAUUGGGGAUUUAGGACACAAGAAAGAAUUUCCUGACUUUGAGAAAUGUUAAACACCAGGAAAAGUUACCCAUAGGGGUUGA
This is a long non-coding RNA of Mus musculus (house mouse), 722 nucleotides long. RefSeq annotates it as predicted gene 11587. The transcript is spliced from 4 exons. The record is from RefSeq and is a predicted model, not a curated record. Lineage: Eukaryota; Metazoa; Chordata; Mammalia; Rodentia; Muridae.